AUUGAACGCUGGCGGCAGGCUUAACACAUGCAAGUCGAACGGUAACAUAAAGGAGCUUGCUUCUUUGAUGACGAGUGGCGGACGGGUGAGUAAUGCUUGGGAAUCUAGCUUAUGGAGGGGGAUAACUACGGGAAACUGUAGCUAAUACCGCGUAGAAUCGGGAGAUGAAAGUGUGGGACCUUCGGGCCACAUGCCAUAGGAUGAGCCCAAGUGGGAUUAGGUAGUUGGUGAGGUAAAGGCUCACCAAGCCGACGAUCUCUAGCUGGUCUGAGAGGAUGACCAGCCACACUAGGACUGAGACACGGCCCAGACUCCUACGGGAGGCAGCAGUGGGGAAUAUUGCGCAAUGGGGGCAACCCUGACGCAGCCAUGCCGCGUGAAUGAAGAAGGCCUUCGGGUUGUAAAGUUCUUUCUGUAGCGAGGAAGGCAUUUAGUUUAAUAGACUAGGUGAUUGACGGUAACUACAGAAGAAGCACCGGCUAACUCCGUG
Molecule: ribosomal RNA, 490 nt
Filed under: uncultured bacterium
Lineage: Bacteria
Description: partial 16S ribosomal RNA
Rfam family: Bacterial small subunit ribosomal RNA
Source: RNAcentral